This 653-nucleotide long non-coding RNA is filed under the name Trifolium pratense (red clover). RNAcentral's name for it is "long non-coding RNA (TPRA_LNC003850)". Lineage: Eukaryota; Viridiplantae; Streptophyta; Magnoliopsida; Fabales; Fabaceae. The record is from RNAcentral.
AAAACUUGAAAAAUAAAAUAAAAUAAAAUAUUACAGCUGAUCGAUUCCAUUUAAAUUUCUAAUAAUACCUUGUUAAUUUCUACCUAAAGCAUGUAUAUAUAAAAUAUAAAUAAUAUAAAGUGAAAUUUGUAUAUAAACUUCAAUUAAUUACUAGCAUCCUAAUCAUAAUAUAUGUAUAAGUAAUAUAUCUCUCAAAAUUCCAUUGAAGAUAAAAUAGGCUUCAUCAAUAAUUAAGUUAUGUUGCCUGGCUUGAGCCUGUGUGCCGUAAUUAAGAAGUUGUAGAAGAUAGAAAAAAAAACAAAUUAUGGAGUUAUUAUCACCUUCAUCUUCACCAUGUUUUCUUUCAUCUCUUGAAUUGGAUCCACCAUUAUAGGCUGAGUAGUUUUAGCUAGAAAAUCCUCUGAAGAAGCCAUGUACAUAUAGGAAGAAAAAGUGUUAUAUUAAUUUAAUUAUUGUAGGUGAAUAUAUAUGCAAUAUAAUGGAUCAACCUAUUCAUUUUAAACUUUUGUUCUUUGACUCAACCCUUCCAUUCCUUCCUAUAUAGCCAAACAAGUAAUCAUAUAUGUUUUUAAGUGGGUGAGAGUUCAAUUCUUUCAUUCUUUAAUGUAUGUGUUUCACUUGCAAAUAUAGAUGGACACACUCAUAGAUGUUGU